AAAAACACAGGUCCGUGCGAAGUCGUAAGACGAGGUAUACGGACUGACGCCUGCCCGGUGCUGGAAGGUUAAGAGGACCGGUCAGCGGAGCGAUCCGCGAAGCUGAGAAUUUAAGCCCCAGUAAACGGCGGUGGUAACUAUAACCAUCCUAAGGUAGCGAAAUUCCUUGUCGGGUAAGUUCCGACCUGCACGAAUGGCGUAACGACUUCUCUGCUGUCUCAACCACAGACUCGGCGAAAUUGCAUUACGAGUAAAGAUGCUCGUUACGCGCGGCAGGACGAAAAGACCCCGGGACCUUCACUACAGCUUGGUAUUGGUGUUCGGUUCGGUUUGUGUAGGAUAGGUGGGAGACUGUGAAGCGGUGACGCCAGUUACCGUGGAGUCGUUGUUGAAAUACCACUCUGAUCGUAUUGGACCUCUAACCUCGGACCCUGAUCGGGUUCAGGGACAGUGCCUGGUGGGUAGUUUAACUGGGGCGGUUGCCUCCCAAAAUGUAACGGAGGCGCCCAAAGGUUCCCUCAGCCUGGUUGGCAAUCAGGUGUCGAGUGCAAGUGCACAAGGGAGCUUGACUGUGAGACCGACAGGUCGAGCAGGGACGAAAGUCGGGACUAGUGAUCCGGCACCGGCAUGUGGAAGCGGUGUCGCUCAACGGAUAAAAGGUACCCCGGGGAUAACAGGCUGAUCUUCCCCAAGAGUCCAUAUCGACGGGAUGGUUUGGCACCUCGAUGUCGGCUCGUCGCAUCCUGGGGCUGGAGUAGGUCCCAAGGGUUGGGCUGUUCGCCCAUUAAAGCGGCACGCGAGCUGGGUUUAGAACGUCGUGAGACAGUUCGGUCUCUAUCCGCCGCGCGCGUUAGAAACUUGAGGAAGGCUGUCCCUAGUACGAGAGGACCGGGACGGACGAACCUCUGGUGUGCCAGUUGUCCCGCCAGGGGCACGGCUGGUUGGCUACGUUCGGAAGGGAUAACCGCUGAAAGCAUCUAAGCGGGAAGCCUGUUCCAAGAUGAGGUUUCUCACCCCCUCGAGGGGGUAAGGCCCCCGGCAGACCACCGGGUUGAUAGGCCGGAACUGGAAGUGCGGCAACGCAUGCAGGUGACCGGUACUAAUAGGCCGAGGACUUACCACG
Molecule: ribosomal RNA, 1123 nt
Filed under: Rhodococcus rhodochrous
Lineage: Bacteria; Bacillati; Actinomycetota; Actinomycetes; Mycobacteriales; Nocardiaceae
Description: bacterial LSU rRNA
Rfam family: Bacterial large subunit ribosomal RNA
Source: RNAcentral